RNAcentral lists this transfer-messenger RNA (401 nucleotides) under Bacteroides sp. It matches the Rfam family "transfer-messenger RNA". From Rfam's summary of the family: Bacterial tmRNA, also known as 10Sa RNA or SsrA, is named for its dual tRNA and mRNA-like properties. Its role is to liberate the mRNA from a stalled ribosome. The record is from RNAcentral. Lineage: Bacteria; Pseudomonadati; Bacteroidota; Bacteroidia; Bacteroidales; Bacteroidaceae.
GGGGCUGACCGGUUUUGACAGCGUGUAGAAGAGGUCAGUAAGCAUGCAGAGCAACGGUGGCUGCACUCUUAAAAAUCCGACACCGAAAAUUCAAAUGGCGAAAACAACUACGCUCUCGCUGCUUGAUUGAAGUACAGUAGAUCAGCUUUAUCCGCGUAACAGUUACGCAGGACGAGACAUCGCCCGAGAGUCCUGGACCCGAGACUCCUCGACACGGCGGUGCAGCAAAAUCGGGUAUAGGCGCGGCCCUGCUCCGCGGCAGCGCCGAAAAAUUAGGAGCUAAGGCGUCCGGCCGGGCGUUUCGACCCAACCGGCGCACGAAAACCAACUCGAAACUAAGCAUGUAGAAAGCUCGCUGAUUCCGCGUUUGGACGAGGGUUCAACCCCCUCCAGCUCCACCA